RNAcentral lists this ribosomal RNA (253 nucleotides) under uncultured bacterium. Its description in RNAcentral is "partial 16S ribosomal RNA". It matches the Rfam family "Bacterial small subunit ribosomal RNA", at positions 524 to 776 of the family's 1533-position model. The record is from RNAcentral.
UACGUAGGCAGCAAGCGUUGUUCGGAAUUACUGGGCGUAAAGAGUGUGUGGGCGGUGUCGUAAGUUUGGCGUGAAAUCUCCCGGCUUAACUGGGAGGGUGCGCCGAAGACUGCGAUGCUUGAGGAUUGGAGAGGAAAGUGGAAUUUCUGGUGUAGCGGUGAAAUGCGUAGAUAUCAGAAGGAACACCUGUGGUGUAGACGGCUUUCUGGACAAUUCCUGACGCUGAGACACGAAAGCGUGGGUAGCAAACAGG